This is a non-coding RNA of Chromobacterium amazonense, 366 nucleotides long. The record is from Rfam. NCBI's taxonomy places the organism in Bacteria, Pseudomonadati, Pseudomonadota, Betaproteobacteria, Neisseriales, Chromobacteriaceae.
GGGGGCGACCUGGUUUCGACGGGGGUUGCGAAGCAGAUGAGGGCAUACCGGGAUUUCAGUCACCCCGUAAAACGCUGAAUUUAUAUAGUCGCAAACGACGAAACUUACGCUCUGGCAGCCUAACGGCCGGCCAGACACUACAACGGUUCGCAGAUGGGCCGGGGGCGUCAAAACCCUGUAGUGUCACUCUACAUCUGCUAGUGCUGUGCCGGGUUACUUGGCUCAGUGCGAAACAAUAGGUAACUCGCCAAAGUCCAGCCUGUCCGUCGGCGUGGCAGCGGUUAAAUCCCAAAAGACACGACUAAGUAUGUAGAACUCACUGUAGAGGAUUUCCGGACGCGGGUUCGAUUCCCGCCGCCUCCACCA